UAAUAUUAUUAAUUAUUGAAAGUGGAUACCAUUAAAUAUUUGUUAAGUCCAAAAAAAAAAAAGAUUGAAUAAAAAAAAACAAAGUGACGUAAGAAUUGGGCUUAAAGCCCAUUGAGUGGAUCUUCCUAUUGUAGGAAAAAUAAGAAGGCUUAAAGCCUUAAGCCUUGGGAAAGAGGGGUUACAUGGAACUAGAGCAAAGGACUUCUGUGCACAGAACAAAAACAGAACACGUCCUAGCAGGUACUCACGCGGGCAAAUAAAAUUUUUUAAGGUUCUUACCAAUCACUAAUUCUUGAACUCAGAAUCGAUUGUUUGACUGGUGUCAAUUGGACUGGGGUCUACGUAUUGACUCGAGAAGUUUUGAGGAACCGGAUUUGCAGGCGAGCA
This is a non-coding RNA of Nicotiana tabacum (common tobacco), 387 nucleotides long. NCBI's taxonomy places the organism in Eukaryota, Viridiplantae, Streptophyta, Magnoliopsida, Solanales, Solanaceae. The record is from RefSeq and is a predicted model, not a curated record.